GCAAAAUGUAGCUCAAAAUGAGAGCGUUGGUCUUGUAAACCAAAGGUUAAAUAUUUUAUUUCUUUUGCU
RNAcentral lists this transfer RNA (69 nucleotides) under Koreoleptoxis globus ovalis. RNAcentral describes it as "tRNA-Thr". It matches the Rfam family "tRNA". From Rfam's summary of the family: Transfer RNA (tRNA) molecules are approximately 80 nucleotides in length. Their secondary structure includes four short double-helical elements and three loops (D, anti-codon, and T loops). The record is from RNAcentral. Lineage: Eukaryota; Metazoa; Mollusca; Gastropoda; Pleuroceridae.